GGGAGAGCCGAGGUACACCUAGGUGCACUUCACAGCCACCUAGAAGCUUGUUUUCCAAAAAGGCACAGGCCGGCACCCCCCCACAAAGAGAUUGACACAGUGGGUCUGAAAUGGAUUCCGGACACUUGCAAAAACAAAACAAAACAAAACAAAAAAACCGAAAACGUGAGAAUGGUUCAGAGGCCCUGAAAAUUACUUUAGCUAUGUGUUAGGGGCAGGGCUGAAAAGAAGAGGCCCACCCCAGCCUUUGCAGUCAGUGCCCAAAGCGGACUGUAACAUGCGGAUGUUUCUUUAUACAGUGCUUGUGUUCCCCUGUGCAAUCUCAAAAAUGGUCCAUCCCUGUAUUUUCUGUUUGUGACGUCAUCUACUGCUACAUACAAAAUCGAAGCCUCACACUAGCAUGGUUUGGUUCCUGACUUAAUCCCAGGGAAACUGACUCUGUGGCAUGGGUUUUCUUUGCCUUCUAACCAUGAAGAUCUCUCCCGUAGUCAAUGGAGAAGACAUUAUCCCAUCUUCAAAGAGUCUGACAUGUAAUAAACAUAUUUAAUAAGUGGGACCCUGGAUGAGAAGAAAGAAGCAAUAUUCAAAUGUAUGAUGGCCUACAUUUUUGACCCAUCGGAGACUCACGUGAAAAAAGAAAAGCAGGAUUUCGCGUUGGCAUCAGCAUCUACUAUAUAGUAGGCACUCUGUUCCAUGUCUCACCCUCUGAACAACCAGCCUGAAGCGAUCUGGUUUAAUUAAGGGUACCAAGGAAACUAUGAAGAAACCAGGUACAAACAUCACGCAAGGAUCUUGCAAGAAUUCGAGUCCAAACUACUAUGUCAAAGAGUAAUGGCUGUCUUCGCAUGCAGGCUGCCCAUGGGGGCUGUGAUAUCCACGAGUGUGGGGUAGAAAAACGUACAUAUAUGACCAAGAGUCUGGGUCAGAUCCAGACUGGAUAAUCAGUCCUCAAUUAAUUAAUAGCUGCCUCCUCUCUCUAUAUAUUAUUUUAUAUUUCGAAAAACAGAAAGACUCACUUAUCUACAUAGGUGUGCUAGAAUGAGGUACAUCUCUUAGAGAGGAAUGGGCUGUGGUUUUCUGAUUUCGUAUUUUCUCCUUUCCUCUAAUGGUGGAAGUCGAAAUAAAUAUUCAGACCUAGGACUCAGCGUGUAGAAAACACUUUAGGAAAUAAUUUACUGUUUUGAACAUUCAAGGUGCAGCCUGCUUCAUGGGAAGUGCUGAAAAGCUCAGCUUCUUUUCAUGUUUUGCCUCUUUCGGGGUUUUAAAAUACUCUUUCAAUUCUUUAGGUUAUAGGAGAGAGGGCUCGAGGGCUUGAAUGUCUGUAAGCUGAGAGACAGGUUUUUAAAAUUAUGGUGCACCUUGAUUCAGUGAAAGAAGUAAGUGCUGACUUUUCCCUUUUGCGUCUUUGGGAUUGGUAUCUGCAGCCAACAUCUAUAAAUAAAUCUCGUCGUAGGAGAUUCAGCGAGGCACAAAAGCACGGCAGUGGUCCAUAUCAGACGCUCGCUCGAUAUCUAUCUAGUUGGAAUAGAAAAGAAAGUGCCAAACAAGAAGCACCAUCAGGAGUUCAGAGGGGGCCUCUUUUGGAGGCUGCAGCAAGAUGAGGGAAGUUCAAAGAGAAGAGGAGGUGGUCUUGCUGGGUCCUGAAGCAAACCUGUGACGAAGGUCACAGGAGAGAGAAGAAAGGGGGAUCCAGGAAUCAAAGCUCAGCUGGGCCUGCCGAUGCCCGUCAAUACUGAGAGGUCGCUGUGAGAGGCAAAUCAGAGGGGUGACUGCCAAAUAAGGAAUUCCAAACGUGCUCAUUUACUCAAGAGGAGACUUUAUUGUCCUCAGAAUCCGGGAAGAAAAGAAACUAAAUUAAUAAAAGUUUCAUCAAAUGUCUAAAAGUGUCACAUGCUAACGCAGCAUCACGACUGAACUCAGCCCUGAUGUAGUGAUCGAUUACUGUAGAGGGUGGGGGGGGGUAUCUGAACGUGCUUGACCUAACGGGGGAGGGGGCACCUCCAAAAGUAAGAGCGUCUGGGAUCCAGCCCUGGGCUACGUGAUACGUGGAGUUACUCCGAGACACAUGCUUUUAGGGGCUAUGGUAUAUACAAUAUUAUAUAUAUAUUAUAUUAUAUAUACAUAUAAGAGCAAGAUCUUUAUUAGCGCAGAAUAGUAUCUGAACUAUAUUUCGAAAAUGACUGUUUGCUCAGGGUUUCCAGACAUGAAUUAAAUUAUUGUAUUAUGGUUAGUACAAUUUGUCACAUUCUUCUUCUCUUGCUUGGCUAAUUCUGGUUCUUCCUCAAAGAUGUUGGUUUUAAAGAUUUACUACCAAUCUCCAAAACUAAGGAGCAGGCCAAAAUCUUGGUUCUUAAAAGACUGUAAAGCACAGUGAUCUUUCAGAAUUACCCAGAGACACAUCACAGAAGACAGGAAGAAAAGAGGUCAAGUGGGCAUCUGAAUGCACAGACGCAUUUGUAACAGGGAGCUCCUUCUCGAAAGCUGACUGCGUGGCAGACACGUCCCCGUGUACCUCGCACAUGCGAGUCCCUUAAUUUGGAAUAAAUGAACGGCCGCUGUGAUCUCAUUGCCGGCUCCUCUUUUUCCCUCACCCCUGGCCCCCACUCGGCUUUUCACUUCAUCAUUGAGGAUUUAAAUAUCUGCUUUUGGCUCACUCCUCCCCAGUUUACGUUAUUUUCUGUGUCUUUUUUCCUGUGGCUGCAAGACAGCUUCACCUGUAACAUGAAAGAGGGGAGAGAGCGUUCCCAGCACCAGCUC
This is a long non-coding RNA of Zalophus californianus (California sea lion), 2757 nucleotides long. RefSeq lists it as uncharacterized. The transcript is spliced from 3 exons. The record is from RefSeq and is a predicted model, not a curated record. Lineage: Eukaryota; Metazoa; Chordata; Mammalia; Carnivora; Otariidae.